This 155-nucleotide unclassified non-coding RNA is filed under the name uncultured Pleosporales. Its description in RNAcentral is "sequence contains ITS2". Lineage: Eukaryota; Fungi; Ascomycota; Dothideomycetes; Pleosporales. The record is from RNAcentral.
ACACCCUCAAGCAAUGCUUGGUGUUGGGCGUCUGUCCCGCUCUCGAAGCGCGGACUCGCCUCAAAGUCAUUGGCGGCGGUCGUGCCGGCUCCUCGCGCAGCACAUUUGCGCUUCUCGGAGGCCCGGCGGAUCAGCAUCCAUCAAGAUAAUCUAUG